UGCUGCGAUGGUUGUCGUCAGCUCGUGCCGUGAGGUGUCGGGUUAAGUCCAUAACGAGCGCAACCCUUAUCGUUAGUUGCCAGCUGGUAAAGCAGGGGACUCUAGCGAAACUGCCACCGUAAGGUGAGAGGAAGGUGGGGAUGACGUCAAAUCAGCACGGCCCUUAUGUCCAGGGCUACACACGUGUUACAAUGGCCGGCACAGAGGGCAGCUACCUGGUGACAGGAUGCUAAUCUCGAAAACCGGUCUCAGUUCGGAUCGAAGUCUGCAACUCGACUUCGUGAAGCUGGAUUCGCUAGUAAUCGCGCAUCAGCCAUGGCGCGGUCGAAUACGUUCCCGGGCCUU
RNAcentral lists this ribosomal RNA (345 nucleotides) under uncultured Sphingobacteriales bacterium. RNAcentral's name for it is "bacterial SSU rRNA". It matches the Rfam family "Bacterial small subunit ribosomal RNA", at positions 1039 to 1382 of the family's 1533-position model. The record is from RNAcentral. Lineage: Bacteria; Pseudomonadati; Bacteroidota; Sphingobacteriia; Sphingobacteriales.